Molecule: long non-coding RNA, 532 nt
Organism: Dermochelys coriacea (leatherback sea turtle)
Lineage: Eukaryota; Metazoa; Chordata; Testudines; Dermochelyidae
Exons: 2
Source: RefSeq, a predicted model, not a curated record
ACCUGAAAUUAUGCAGAAUAUGGUCAUCAUAUGAAUGAGAUUACUCUUGACCAAAGAAAUGCAGUGUUAAUAGUUACUGGGGAAAAGAGUGCCGCUGAUAAGCCUUUGCUCCUGAUAAAAGCACUCAGUUAAAACUGAACUAGGCAGAUGUAUAUGUUUUAAAUAUUAACAUGGUUGCAAUUUCUAUUUUUAAUAGAUAAAAUAUGAAUAACUGAAGGACUGAUCCAGCUUUUUUUAAUCACAGGAGCAGAAAAAACAGUCUUGAUCCUGAUCCCAUUGAAGUCAGUGGAUGUUUUCAAUUGAUUUAACAUUCAGAAACUACCAAGAACCAAAUUUUGCUGUCCUUAUGAGUAAAACUUCCAGUGAACAUUUGCUUAAGAAAGGAUCUUGGAAAAUUUUGUCCUAACUUUAGGUGUUGCUCCAUGGCUCCUUGUGUGGAAGCUUUCCACAGAUCUUAAUGUGCAAAGUAGUUUCUGUGCAAUGUAUUUAACCAAACCUCCCCCUUCCUCCCCUCCCCCCAAAAACAAACAAA